RNAcentral lists this ribosomal RNA (484 nucleotides) under uncultured bacterium. Its description in RNAcentral is "partial 16S ribosomal RNA". It matches the Rfam family "Bacterial small subunit ribosomal RNA", at positions 29 to 523 of the family's 1533-position model. The record is from RNAcentral.
AGUGAACGCUGGCGGCGUGCUUAACACAUGCAAGUCGAACGAGAACGGAUUAUAGCUUGCUAUAAUCGUCAGCUAAGUGGCGCACGGGUGAGUAAUGUAUAGGUAAUAUGCCUCUUACUAAGGGAUAACAAAUGGAAACGUUUGCUAAUACCUUAUACUCCUUAUUAACAGAAGUUAAUAAGGGAAAGAUUUAUUGGUAAGAGAUUAGCCUGUAUUGUAUCAGUUAGCUGGUGGGGUAAUGGCUUACCAAGACUAUGACACAUAACUGGUUUGGGAGGAUGAUCAGUCACACUGGAACUGAGACACGGUCCAGACUCUUACGGGAGGCAGCAGUGGGGAAUAUUGCACAAUGGACGAAAGUCUGAUGCAGCAACGCCGCGUGGAGGAUGACACAUUUCGGUGCGUAAACUCCUUUUAUAUGAGAAGAUAAUGACGGUAUUAUAUGAAUAAGCACCGGCUAACUCCGUGCCAGCAGCCGCCGUAA